CUCCUCCCUCCCGGUUUGUGCUCUUUGCUUCCUCUACCAGACCCUUUCCCCGCCGCUGCUGCCUGGGAUCCAGCUGACCUUGGGCUGUAACCGAGAGCCAAGAUAAACCUGGCCUCCGAUGAAUUUUAUCACCCCCAAAAAGAAACCCCUGCACUCUGGGAGGCUGAGCCAAGAGAGUCGCAGUAUGAGCCCAGCCAAGGAAGAUAACACAUCGAACCAAGAGAAAAGACGCUCAACACAGGAACAGCAGAGGCUUUCUGCUUCCCUGAAGGACAUGAAUCAUGUUUGUGACUCAUUUUUAUGGAAGAGUUCUUGAAAGAUCAAUGUGUAAAUAGCUACUUCUUAAUGACAAGCAUGAAAAUUAUGAAUAUUAAUUGGAUGAAACUAGAUUUUUUUUGGU
This is a long non-coding RNA of Heterocephalus glaber (naked mole-rat), 400 nucleotides long. Lineage: Eukaryota; Metazoa; Chordata; Mammalia; Rodentia; Bathyergidae. The record is from Ensembl.